RNAcentral lists this microRNA (23 nucleotides) under Dasypus novemcinctus (nine-banded armadillo). Its description in RNAcentral is "dno-miR-708-3p". Its record names the gene dno-miR-708-3p. The record is from miRBase by way of RNAcentral. Lineage: Eukaryota; Metazoa; Chordata; Mammalia; Cingulata; Dasypodidae.
CAACUAGACUGGGAGCUUCUAGA